This is a long non-coding RNA of Tyto alba (common barn owl), 1023 nucleotides long. RefSeq lists it as uncharacterized. The transcript is spliced from 4 exons. The record is from RefSeq and is a predicted model, not a curated record. NCBI's taxonomy places the organism in Eukaryota, Metazoa, Chordata, Aves, Strigiformes, Tytonidae.
UGAAAAUAAAAUAAAGCAAAUUGAAGAGAGAAUGAACAAAACAAGUUCUGGAUGUUGAAACAUAUUAUUUCGUCUUUGCUGGUAAAUGAUCUUGUCCAGCUCAUGGAUAAGCUGCAAAACAUAAGCAUAUCUACCCUUCUUAGGAGGGAUAGGUGGCUGUCAUUGCAGUAUGAAUAUACAGUUUCAGAGUUUGAGAUCUGCAGCUCCUGCCAGAUGACCAGAAGGAACAGAAUUACUGGUUGUGGGGAGCCUGAGAAGAACAGCUUUUCUGAGCUGUACAUCACACUGGAGGUUUCCAGAACUCUAUUAGUUAACACCAACCAAGCUAUAGGAAAAGGAAAAAGAUGAAGAGGCAUCAUGUAACAGUUCAACAUGUAACAACCAAGCCAUUAAAUAAUGCCCGUGAUUACAGGAGAAGGAAAGGCCCCAAGAAUUGACAUUAAGUUUGGAAAGGCAACCUACAACUAAAUAAAGAUCUCUUGAAGAGACUAAAACUCAAAAGCAGAAAACGUGUUACUGUCACUAACGUCUGCAUAUAUCUCUGUGCACAAGAAGCAACUAAAAGUAUGGUGUGGUCUACAACAGUUUUAUAACAAGAAUUUCUUCUUAACUGCAUUCAAUGAAAAACUUUGCAAAUGCUCAGCAGUCAGAAUGCAGUAUAAAUCUACACUUGCUAUAAAAUUACAGAUCAGGACAACCUCCUAUAUUUGUAAAACAAAUGGAAUCAAAAGAAAUUAUUUAAUCCUUGUGCUUUACAAGCUUUUCUCCUGCGCACUUCAUGUGAGUUUCUUAUGUUUUCUUAAAUAGACAGUACUGUUGACAUGUACUCUUUAGAGCUUACCUUUUUUAUUUUUCAGUGCUGAGCACAUGUAUUCCUUUGUAUUUCAACUGCAUUUAAAUGAACAGAAUGCUCAUCUGAUUACUGCUUUCAAUGUUAGAAGCUAUUUGUGUGUGCAUAUAUCCAACUGCUGUAAACGCUUAUUAAGUAUUUUGUCCUAAGUUUUAUAGACAGCUUUCUGAUAC